This 1454-nucleotide ribosomal RNA is filed under the name Bacillus pumilus. RNAcentral describes it as "bacterial SSU rRNA". It matches the Rfam family "Bacterial small subunit ribosomal RNA". Lineage: Bacteria; Bacillati; Bacillota; Bacilli; Caryophanales; Bacillaceae. The record is from RNAcentral.
CGCUGGCGGCGUGCCUAAUACAUGCAAGUCGAGCGGACAGAAGGGAGCUUGCUCCCGGAUGUUAGCGGCGGACGGGUGAGUAACACGUGGGUAACCUGCCUGUAAGACUGGGAUAACUCCGGGAAACCGGAGCUAAUACCGGAUAGUUCCUUGAACCGCAUGGUUCAAGGAUGAAAGACGGUUUCGGCUGUCACUUACAGAUGGACCCGCGGCGCAUUAGCUAGUUGGUGAGGUAACGGCUCACCAAGGCGACGAUGCGUAGCCGACCUGAGAGGGUGAUCGGCCACACUGGGACUGAGACACGGCCCAGACUCCUACGGGAGGCAGCAGUAGGGAAUCUUCCGCAAUGGACGAAAGUCUGACGGAGCAACGCCGCGUGAGUGAUGAAGGUUUUCGGAUCGUAAAGCUCUGUUGUUAGGGAAGAACAAGUGCAAGAGUAACUGCUUGCACCUUGACGGUACCUAACCAGAAAGCCACGGCUAACUACGUGCCAGCAGCCGCGGUAAUACGUAGGUGGCAAGCGUUGUCCGGAAUUAUUGGGCGUAAAGGGCUCGCAGGCGGUUUCUUAAGUCUGAUGUGAAAGCCCCCGGCUCCCCCGGGGAGGGUCAUUGGAAACUGGGAAACUUGAGUGCAGAAGAGGAGAGUGGAAUUCCACGUGUAGCGGUGAAAUGCGUAGAGAUGUGGAGGAACACCAGUGGCGAAGGCGACUCUCUGGUCUGUAACUGACGCUGAGGAGCGAAAGCGUGGGGAGCGAACAGGAUUAGAUACCCUGGUAGUCCACGCCGUAAACGAUGAGUGCUAAGUGUUAGGGGGUUUCCGCCCCUUAGUGCUGCAGCUAACGCAUUAAGCACUCCGCCUGGGGAGUACGGUCGCAAGACUGAAACUCAAAGGAAUUGACGGGGGCCCGCACAAGCGGUGGAGCAUGUGGUUUAAUUUGAAGCAACGCGAAGAACCUUACCAGGUCUUGACAUCCUCUGACAACCCUAGAGAUAGGGCUUUCCCUUCGGGGACAGAGUGACAGGUGGUGCAUGGUUGUCGUCAGCUCGUGUCGUGAGAUGUUGGGUUAAGUCCCGCAACGAGCGCAACCCUUGAUCUUAGUUGCCAGCAUUCAGUUGGGCACUCUAAGGUGACUGCCGGUGACAAACCGGAGGAAGGUGGGGAUGACGUCAAAUCAUCAUGCCCCUUAUGACCUGGGCUACACACGUGCUACAAUGGACAGAACAAAGGGCUGCGAGACCGCAAGGUUUAGCCAAUCCCAUAAAUCUGUUCUCAGUUCGGAUCGCAGUCUGCAACUCGACUGCGUGAAGCUGGAAUCGCUAGUAAUCGCGGAUCAGCAUGCCGCGGUGAAUACGUUCCCGGGCCUUGUACACACCGCCCGUCACACCACGAGAGUUUGCAACACCCGAAGUCGGUGAGGUAACCUUUAUGGAGCCAGCCGCCCGAGUGAGCGGCCG